UCGCACCCAAUCCGGACCGCCCACUUCCGCUCAGCUCUCUAACGUCCUCCAGUGGGAGCGUUCUAGGCUCCUCGAGUGAGCGUCGCCUUUCUGAGAUCACAAGAUGAAGGUCCAUUUCCUGACUGGUGUAGGACAAAGACUCACCUUCUGAACUACCCACUGCACAAGACCCAGGUUUUUAAAAGAGCACAGGGAGAAACCAGAAAUAGAUCAAACGCCUUUGUAGCCUCUGAGGAGGGCCAUUGAAAUGCAUUAAAUCCAGGAUCAGUUCUGAUGACCAAGAUCCCAAAGACAAACUGAAGACCCAAGCCCCAAAAUACUGUUCUCCAGCACACCUGAGAACAAGAAAAUUAUUCCAGUGUGAAUUCUAAACUCUAUUUACCCAAUACCUGGACAAGAAUGAAGUUGAAAGAACGAAUCUGAGAACACAAAUUACACGACUUCCCUUUCAUAAAGUUUCCAUAUCAAUAAAUGUGAUCUAAAGACUCAUUUUUGAAGAUUGUUCCAAUAACUAACCAAAAUAUUAAAAACCAAAGGAGGAAAAGUAUGCAUAUUUGUCCCCUAUGGAUCUCCACCCAAUUUCUAAUCACUCCAAGGGCAGAGUAAAGGCUAAACCACAAAUCAACUACUUAUGGUCUUAUGAUCCUCUCAUGUGCCAAACACAUUUAUCAAUACAUGGACUAGUUUCCUCAUGUCUGAGUGUUAUUGAUCUUCAAGUGCAAGGGAAAAGAAUCGGAAGAUCACCGAUGAAAAUAAAACAGAAAGAGCACGUUAUCUAUUGAGAUACCUCAGGAGCAAAACAACAAAAGGCACUAGAGGUCAGGUUGAAAUUUGAAGCUGUUCUCAUGUAAGCCCAUUUCACUUAAAGCGGAUAAAUCUGGCUUCCAGAAUGCAUCUUGCUAGUGAAUAAAGUUCUCUUAGGUCUAUCUCCCCAGUGUCAAAUAAGUCAAUGAUCCAAAAUUUAGUUAGUAGUCUACUGUGGUUACUCCAAAUUACCAUUUUGCAAACAUCCUUAACAAACAUUCACUGAAGAAUUGGGAGAAAAGAGGAAUUUUGUAGAGUCUGAAAGUCAUUCUCUCACCCCAGGCUUAUGAUUAAAGAGCAAGUACGUGCCAUGGCUAGACAAACUAUAACUGCCAUAGAAUCCAGCUCAGUAUAUACUGAGCAGUAAGUUUGCUCCUUAAACUCUAAGGAAUUUUAAGGGGCACCAAUGAGUGCAGGAAGUUUGGAGGACUAGUGGGGGAAAAGUAUAGGGAGUAUCAGGGAAGUGAGGGAGACACAGAUGACCACCAGCACCUAAUACAGCCCUUUAUUCUGACUACUUCAUUGAAGAGGAAUAUUGCUUCUCACUUUUAACACAGGCCCUGAGGAUAAACAGGCUGAAUGUCUUUUCUGAAACUCUGAACUAAAAACUUCUCUGAACCCCUUUUACCCCUUAGCAAUGUUGAGACCCAAGGUGACAAGAAACUGGACUGAAGUCUGGUGCUCGGAGGCCUGUUGCUAUUUGUUCUUUGUGUCUUGGUUUUGAAAAGUGUAAGUGAGGGUCUAAGAAAGAACCCAGGAAUGUCAAAGGAGCAAAAGGGCAGUAGACUGGGGUUUGGGAUAAACUGUGGGGCCAGGGACAUAGA
Molecule: long non-coding RNA, 1628 nt
Organism: Nycticebus coucang (slow loris)
Lineage: Eukaryota; Metazoa; Chordata; Mammalia; Primates; Lorisidae
Exons: 5
Source: RefSeq, a predicted model, not a curated record